Molecule: ribosomal RNA, 434 nt
Filed under: uncultured bacterium
Lineage: Bacteria
Description: partial 16S ribosomal RNA
Rfam family: Bacterial small subunit ribosomal RNA
Source: RNAcentral
AGCGAACGCUGGCGGCAGGCCUAACACAUGCAAGUCGAACGAGCCUUUCGGGGUGAGUGGCGGACUGGUUAGUAACACGUGGGAACGUGCCUUUAGGUUCGGAUCAACUCAGGGAAACUUGUGCUAAUACCGAAUGUGCCCUUGGCGGGAAAGAUUAAUCGCCUUUUGGUCGGCCCGCGUCUGAUUAGCUAGUUGGUUGAGGUAAUGGCCCACCAAGGCGACGAUCCGUAGCUGGUCUGAGAGGAUGAUCAGCCACAUUGGGACUGAGACACGGCCCAAACUCCUACGGGAGGCAGCAGUGGGGAAUCUUGCGCAAUGGGCGAAAGCCUGACGCAGCCAUGCCGCGUGAAUGAUGAAGGUCUUAGGAUUGUAAAAUUCUUUCACCGGGGACGAUAAUGACGGUACCCGGAGAAGAAGCCCCGGCUAACUUCGUG